Molecule: ribosomal RNA, 289 nt
Filed under: uncultured bacterium
Lineage: Bacteria
Description: partial 16S ribosomal RNA
Rfam family: Bacterial small subunit ribosomal RNA
Source: RNAcentral
GAGGUCCUACGGGAGGCAGCAGUGGGGAAUAUUGCACAAUGGGGGGAACCCUGAUGCAGCGACGCCGCGUGGGUGAAGGAGUAUUUCGGUAUGUAAAGCCCUAUCAGCAGGGAAGAACAAUGACGGUACCUGACUAAGAAGCACCGGCUAAAUACGUGCCAGCAGCCGCGGUAAUACGUAUGGUGCAAGCGUUAUCCGGAUUUACUGGGUGUAAAGGGAGCGCAGCCGGCUGUGCAAGUCUGGAGUGAAAGGCGGGGGCCCAACCCCCGGACUGCUUUGGAACCUGCAA